CGCCUCUUGAUAAUAAUAAGAGGUCUCGCCUGCCCAGUGACAAACUUCAACGGCCGCGGUACCCUAACCGUGCAAAGGUAGCAUAAUCACUUGUUCUUUAAAUAAGGACUCGUAUCAAUGGCAUCACGAGGGUUGCACUGUCUCCCCCCUCCAAUCAGUGAAACUGAUCUCUCCGUGAAAAAGCGGAGAUAAAACUAUAAGACGAGAAGACCCCGUGGAGCUUUAAACCAACAGCAAUUUAGUAAAAAAAUUUCCUUUCAGCUAUAAAAUCAUGCUAACGGCUUUGGGUUGGGGUGACCACGGAGUAAAAUUUAACCUCCGUGUCGAAAAGAUAAUCUUAACCUAAGAAUUACUAUUCUAAGAAUUAGAAAACUAACGAACUAUGACCCGAUUAUCGAUCAACGAACCAAGUUACCCCGGGGAUAACAGCGCAAUCUACUUCAAGAGUCCUUAUCGACAAGUAGGCUUACGACCUCGAUGUUGGAUCAGGGUAUCCUAGUGGUGCAGCCGCUACUAAAGGUUCGUUUGUUCAACGAUUAAAACCCU
This 546-nucleotide ribosomal RNA is filed under the name Raorchestes menglaensis (Mengla small treefrog). Its description in RNAcentral is "partial 16S ribosomal RNA". It matches the Rfam family "Bacterial large subunit ribosomal RNA", at positions 1819 to 2597 of the family's 2925-position model. Lineage: Eukaryota; Metazoa; Chordata; Amphibia; Anura; Rhacophoridae. The record is from RNAcentral.